CUUUGUCGAGUUGUUGAGGGAGGAGGCAGAUAGAUAGAGACAGUGAGAGGAGGCCACGUCCUCCUCUUCGCCCAUCCUCCUCCUCCGCCUCCUGACGGCGGCGCGGCCUCUAUCCUACCGCUACCGGUACCUUCCACUCCCUGAGGAGUGAGGAUCGAUCGAUGGAGAGGGGAGGGAGGGCCGGUGUACCUUCCACUGACUGAACAUACGUACACACAGACACAACCAGGAAACACGACGACGACGGAACUACUACUACGACUACACACGAGACGAGUGUCACGAGCGAGCUGAACGAACACACAAGACGCGGUGGUAAGAAAACGUCUCGGACCGUACCGGGACGUCGUUACCUCUCUCUCCGAAGAGGAUGGGGGUCAGAGGUUUCCGGGGGAGGUAACAGUCGCUCUCCAUGUCCUGACGGAUGGUGAAGGUCGGAGGGUCCUUGACCUACUUGCUAGGUACACCUGGUUACAUGAUGUUACCGCAGAUGGUACUUAAGAUGGUCAUAUUGGGGCUACCGCGGAAACUGGGGUUACUGAGGGAGUACUUGUACCAAACCCCGGUAAGCCAAAGUUGUCUGGAGUAGUUGACCCAGCCAGAACUUGGCCGUUAGUUUGGCCUAUAGGGUUCACUGUAUACGCCAACAACCUGGCCGAGUCGGUGUUAAGAUAAACCACAAGUUGGCCAGUAGUAUAUGUGACCAGAGUAGCUGUCCUUCCGCUUAGUCCAGGUUUUGUAACGCGAAGGGUUUUUGGCAAGACUAGGCAUGGACUCCCUUACCCGGUUUCAUCCGUCAUUGGGUCACUAGGUUGUACAGUAUGGUCCGAACUUGAGCUCGGUAAAGUCCCUAGGCUGUUGGCCAACCUAACCUGGCCUACCUGAUACCUCUUAUCGUCAACCACGACUCCACUUGCCGUAGCCAUGACGUGAAGACAUGUUCUCACUUCUGAAAUACUCAACCUGAUCUUAACUUGCGGGCGACAUAAGUUUGUUACGGGAGUUAUACACCCUCACGGACCUAAAGAAGCGGCAUCACGGCCCUUCAUUGUUACCUGACCUGUACAGAAGUCUUUAAGGUUCACCACGGUUCGUACAGGAGUUUUGUGGCAGGUUCUACUGUUAGCCGACACCUGCUCCUAGCUAAUACCAUGAAAGAUACGAAGUUUUAGUAAGAAACUGAGGUUUGUGCCGUCCUCUCAGUAUACCCGAACCUCAUUGCUCUGUCUAUCAAUAAGUCUACUAUAACGUUUUCCGACCCGUCCUUAGGUACUGUUAAACCAAUCUACCGCUACCGUUCGUCAACUAGGUUACCGGUCAACUUCUCUAACUCAGGGAAGCUUAUUUACUUUAGUUGGUAGUUCCUGAUCUCGACUUUUUCCCUCUAGAUAAACUCUAAUUCCCUUAGCUGUGAUAGGUCCGACUGUAACUCUAUCUAAAACUCGGCUGCAGGUAGCUACUGCGGCUUGGAAAACUAGGAAGUACCGAAAAACUGGGGGCCUUCGUCACGGCCCUCCGCCUACGUAGCCAAGUACCACCGUAUCCCGGUAAACCUGAACAAUAAGAACGGAGACUGUUGUACCUCCUCGUGUGACGUCACGUAAAGUCCCAAAUGUUUAGUCUCGUUUUCAUGUAAUAGGAGUACACGAGGCUAGAAUCUUCCAGAAGGGACUCUGGUCCUGACAUGUGUGGUCGGAUACCUCCGAAGAAACUUAAACUGGAACUUUUACUUUUUUCCUAUAGGGAGUCCUGAGACUAGCUAGCCAGCCGCCACCUCUCGAAGCCGUCGCCACCGUCCUAGACGUAGUGCCGGUCUCAAAUAGGCCACCGCGAACAGCUGUUGCCGCGGUGGGUGUACAUACGGAAGUUGUUACCUUCAUGGUGCCAGCCUCACGGUGUCGAUUCCCGUACCUCGUACUUCUCUCGUGUUCACUUACACUACUUCCCACCUUCACACUAGCUACGAAUCGUGUCUUCUCGUUAAGAUCAGUCUGCACACUAACUUUCUGACCGGUGCGUGAACAACUAAAGUUAUAAAUGGUGCACAUUCUUCCAUUCUCAGUUAGUUCGGUAAGUAACUACUCUAGUUGCCGAGUCUAGAUAAAAUAUGAGAAUGGAGAGUACACUUUUCUCCCCCAUUCUCCCUGGUACAAUUUUGACGAGAACUUGAAAACUUCAUCAACGUUAACCAUUCAUUCGUAUCACGAACAACGGUUGUUGCUAAAUUUAAGCAUCUCCAAACCUUAUUUGUUUAUACUCGAACACGUACGGUGUUUCAAGUUCAUUCUUACAUACAUACAUACAUACGUUGUCAUGACAUCUUUGGUCGUCGAACAGCGGUUGCUAGAAAGAACCGACAGAGUCGUUCAGCCCGGACGAAUAGAAAGAGGAGACAAACUUGUAAUUGUCCGUGUAGUGUCAAUCGUACUGCUAGCUCGUAUCAUGGACAUUGACUCAUGGAGUUUUCAAUUUCGUUAUAAUCGUUGCAAUUUAAGAGGUAUUAUAGGUACCUAAUCCACGUAGAGAGAUGUAUAGAUGUCUUAAACCCUAUAAAAGACUUC
This 2561-nucleotide ribosomal RNA is filed under the name Triticum aestivum (bread wheat). RNAcentral's name for it is "partial small subunit ribosomal RNA". The record is from RNAcentral. Lineage: Eukaryota; Viridiplantae; Streptophyta; Magnoliopsida; Poales; Poaceae.